This 789-nucleotide ribosomal RNA is filed under the name uncultured bacterium. RNAcentral's name for it is "bacterial SSU rRNA". It matches the Rfam family "Bacterial small subunit ribosomal RNA", at positions 8 to 834 of the family's 1533-position model. The record is from RNAcentral.
AGAGUUUGAUCAUGGCUCAGAACGAACGCUGGCGGCAUGCCUCAUACAUGCAAGUCGAACGAAGGCUUCGGCCUUAGUGGCGCACGGGUGAGUAACGCGUGGGAACCUGCCCUGGAGUGGGGGAUAACCGAGGGAAACUUCGGCUAAUACCGCAUGCGCCCGGUAGCAAUACCGGGGAAAGAUUUAUCGCUCUAGGAGGGGCCCGCGCCGGAUUAGCUAGUUGGUGGGGUAACGGCCUACCAAGGCAACGAUCCGUAGCUGGUCUGAGAGGAUGAUCAGCCACACUGGGACUGAGACACGGCCCAGACUCCUACGGGAGGCAGCAGUAGGGAAUAUUGGACAAUGGGCGAAAGCCUGAUCCAGCAAUGCCGCGUGAGUGAGGAAGGCCUUAGGGUUGUAAAGCUCUUUCGGCGGGGACGAUGAUGACGGUACCCGCAGAAGAAGCCCCGGCUAACUUCGUGCCAGCAGCCGCGGUAAUACGAAGGGGGCAAGCGUUGUUCGGAAUUACUGGGCGUAAAGGGCGCGUAGGCGGCCAUCUUUGUCAGGCGUGAAAGCCCCGGGCUCAACCUGGGAAUUGCGCUUGGGACGGGGUGGCUUGAGUUCGGGAGAGGAGAGUGGAAUUCCCAGUGUAGAGGUGAAAUUCGUAGAUAUUGGGAAGAACACCGGUGGCGAAGGCGGCUCUCUGGACCGAUACUGACGCUGANGCGCGAAAGCGUGGGGAGCAAACAGGAUUAAAUACCCUGGUAGUNCCACGCUGUAAACGAUGUGUGCUAGACGUUGGGAAGCCUA